RNAcentral lists this ribosomal RNA (93 nucleotides) under Nocardia mexicana. Lineage: Bacteria; Bacillati; Actinomycetota; Actinomycetes; Mycobacteriales; Nocardiaceae. The record is from RNAcentral.
ACGCCCGGUCCCAUUCCGAACCCGGAAGCUAAGCCUGCCAGCGCCGAUGGUACUGCACUCGACAGGGUGUGGGAGAGUAGGACACCGCCGGAA